AGCGGCGGACGGGUGAGUAACACGUGGGUAACCUGCCCAAGAGACUGGGAUAACACCUGGAAACAGAUGCUAAUACCGGAUAACAACACUAGACGCAUGUCUAGAGUUUGAAAGAUGGUUCUGCUACCACUCUUGGAUGGACCUGCGGUGCAUUAGCUAGUUGGUAAGGUAACGGCUUACCAAGGCAAUGAUGCAUAGCCGAGUUGAGAGACUGAUCGGCCACAUUGGGACUGAGACACGGCCCAAACUCCUACGGGAGGCAGCAGUAGGGAAUCUUCCACAAUGGACGAAAGUCUGAUGGAGCAACGCCGCGUGAGUGAAGAAGGGUUUCGGCUCGUAAAGCUCUGUUGGUAGUGAAGAAAGAUAGAGGUAGUAACUGGCCUUUAUUUGACGGUAAUUACUUAGAAAGUCACGGCUAACUACGUGCCAGCAGCCGCGGUAAUACGUAGGUGGCAAGCGUUGUCCGGAUUUAUUGGGCGUAAAGCGAGUGCAGGCGGUUCAAUAAGUCUGAUGUGAAAGCCUUCGGCUCAACCGGAGAAUUGCAUCAGAAACUGUUGAACUUGAGUGCAGAAGAGGUGAGUGGAACUCCAUGUGUAGCGGUGGAAUGCGUAGAUAUAUGGAAGAACACCAGUGGCGAAAGCGGCUCUCUGGUCUGCAACUGACGCUGAGGCUCGAAAGCAUGGGUAGCGAACAGGAUUAGAUACCCUGGUAGUCCAUGCCGUAAACGAUGAGUGCUAAGUGU
RNAcentral lists this ribosomal RNA (742 nucleotides) under uncultured bacterium. Its description in RNAcentral is "bacterial SSU rRNA". It matches the Rfam family "Bacterial small subunit ribosomal RNA", at positions 94 to 823 of the family's 1533-position model. The record is from RNAcentral.